This 439-nucleotide ribosomal RNA is filed under the name uncultured bacterium. Its description in RNAcentral is "partial 16S ribosomal RNA". It matches the Rfam family "Bacterial small subunit ribosomal RNA", at positions 339 to 795 of the family's 1533-position model. The record is from RNAcentral.
CUACGGGAGGCUGCAGUGGGGAAUAUUGCACAAUGGAGGAAACUCUGAUGCAGCAACGCCGCGUGGAGGAUGACACUUUUCGGAGCGUAAACUCCUUUUAUAUAGGAAGAAGAUGACGGUACUAUAUGAAUAAGCGCCGGCUAACUCCGUGCCAGCAGCCGCGGUAAUACGGAGGGCGCAAGCGUUACUCGGAAUCACUGGGCGUAAAGAGCGUGUAGGCGGAUUAAAAAGUCAGAAGUGAAAUCCUAUAGCUUAACUAUAGAACUGCUUCUGAAACUCUUAAUCUAGAACAUGGGAGAGGUAGAUGGAAUUUCUGGUGUAGGGGUAAAAUCCGUAGAGAUCAGAAGGAAUACCGAUUGCGAAGGCGAUCUACUAGAACAUUAUUGACGCUGAGACGCGAAAGCGUGGGGAGCGAACAGGAUUAGAUACCCGCGUAGUC